GUCAACCCCACCAUGGUCUUUGACAUCGCCAUUGACGGCGAGACUUUGAGCUGCAUCUCCUUUGAGUUGUUUGCGAAGUUCCAAAGACAGCAGAAAAUAUCCAUGCUCUGAGCACUGAAGAGAAAGAAUUUGGUUAUCAGGGUUUCUGCUUUUACAGAAUUAUUCCAGGGGUUCUGUGUCAGGGUAUGUAUGAACUUCACAAGCCACAAUAGCACUGGUGGCAAGUCUAUCUACAAGGAGAAAUUUGAAGGUGAGAACUUCAUUCUGAAGCAUACGGGUUCUGGCAUCUUGUCCAUGGCAAAUGCUGGACCCAACACAAGCAGUUCCCAGUUUUUCAUCUGCACUGCAAGAUUGACUGGUUGGAUGGCAAGCAUGUGGUCUUUGGCAAGGUGAAAGAAGGCAUGAAUAUCAUGGAAGCCAUGGAGUGCUUCGGGUACAGGAAUGGCAAGACCAGCAAGAAGAUCACCAUUGCUGACUGUGGA
This 482-nucleotide long non-coding RNA is filed under the name Homo sapiens (human). RNAcentral describes it as "non-protein coding lnc-MBOAT4-8:1". The record is from RNAcentral. Lineage: Eukaryota; Metazoa; Chordata; Mammalia; Primates; Hominidae.